RNAcentral lists this ribosomal RNA (448 nucleotides) under uncultured Aquiflexum sp. RNAcentral describes it as "bacterial SSU rRNA". It matches the Rfam family "Bacterial small subunit ribosomal RNA", at positions 933 to 1382 of the family's 1533-position model. Lineage: Bacteria; Pseudomonadati; Bacteroidota; Cytophagia; Cytophagales; Cyclobacteriaceae. The record is from RNAcentral.
UGGAGCAUGUGGUUUAAUUCGAUGAUACGCGAGGAACCUUACUGGGCUAGAAUGUGAAGGAAUGAUAUAGAGAUGUAUCAGUCAGCAAUGACCUGAAACAAGGUGCUGCAUGGCUGUCGUCAGCUCGUGCCGUGAGGUGUUGGGUUAAGUCCCGCAACGAGCGCAACCCCCUGUUAUCAGUUGCCAUCGGGUAGAGCCGGGGACUCUGAUAAGACUGCCUGCGCAAGCAGAGAGGAAGGAGGGGACGACGUCAAGUCAUCAUGGCCCUUACGCCCAGGGCGACACACGUGCUACAAUGGCGCAUACAGCGGGUAGCUACCUGGCAACAGGAUGCCGACCUCUAAAAGUGCGUCUCAGUUCGGAUUGGGGUCUGCAACCCGACCCCAUGAAGCUGGAAUCGCUAGUAAUCGCGGAUCAGCACGCCGCGGUGAAUACGUUCCCGGGCCUU